AUUGAACGCUGGCGGCAGGCCUAACACAUGCAAGUCGAACGAGUGGCGGACGGGUGAGUAAUGUCUGGGAAACUGCCUGAUGGAGGGGGAUAACUACUGGAAACGGUAGCUAAUACCGCAUACCAUCGGAUGUGCCCAGAUGGGAUUGGCUAGUAGGUGGGGUAAAGGCUCACCUAGGCGACGUUCCCUAGCUGGUCUGAGAGGAUGACCAGCCAAACUGGAACUGGGACACGGUCCAGACUCCUACGGAAGGAAGAAGUGGGGAAUAUUGCACAAUGGGCGCAAGCCUGAUGCAGCCAUGCCGCGUGUAUGAGGAAGGCCUUCGGGUUGUAAAGUACUUUCAGAGGGGAGGCGUUACCCGCAGAAGAAGCACCGGCUAACUCCGUGCCAGCAGCCGCGGUAAUAC
RNAcentral lists this ribosomal RNA (406 nucleotides) under uncultured bacterium. RNAcentral describes it as "partial 16S ribosomal RNA". It matches the Rfam family "Bacterial small subunit ribosomal RNA", at positions 30 to 526 of the family's 1533-position model. The record is from RNAcentral.